RNAcentral lists this ribosomal RNA (312 nucleotides) under Triticum aestivum (bread wheat). RNAcentral describes it as "partial small subunit ribosomal RNA". The record is from RNAcentral. Lineage: Eukaryota; Viridiplantae; Streptophyta; Magnoliopsida; Poales; Poaceae.
CCGAGAGGUAACACCAGAAGGGUCGUCUCCCAUAGGGGCAAUAAUUUGAUAACUAAAGUCAGUGAGCUAAUUAACCCAAUCACCAACAAAUGGGACGAAGAACUAGUGAGGCAAACUUUUACCCCGGAAGAUACAAAGUGUAUCCUUCAGAUCCCAAUCCAAGAUCAUCUCGAGGACUUCACGGCAUGUCACUAUGAUAAAAAAGCUGAAGAAGAUGGUGGAUUUGACUGGCUUAAACUAUGGACAAUGCCCCUCCCAAACAAAGUGCUCCAUUUUUUAUGGAGGCUAGCAACCAAUAGCUUACCAUUGCGA